AAGUAAAGCACUACAGAUCAUUUAUGGUGGUUGGAAGGAGUCAUACACCGAUCUUGGUCGCUUCCUAUCUAUACUACAGCGCGUGAAUCCCGGGACUCAAUGGCGUCUUGAUCCUAAAAUCCUACCAAAUGGCGUUAGGCAGUUUGGACGAGUAUUUUGGGCAUUCGGGCCGUCAAUUAAUGGGUUUUCUUAUUGUCGAC
RNAcentral lists this long non-coding RNA (200 nucleotides) under Ananas comosus (pineapple). Its description in RNAcentral is "long non-coding RNA (ACOM_LNC009113)". Lineage: Eukaryota; Viridiplantae; Streptophyta; Magnoliopsida; Poales; Bromeliaceae. The record is from RNAcentral.